GACAAGGUGGCUGAAUGGUUAAGGCUACGGACUGCAACUCCGUUUUUUACAGGUUCGAUUCCUGUUCUUGUCU
RNAcentral lists this transfer RNA (73 nucleotides) under Aquimarina amphilecti. RNAcentral's name for it is "Aquimarina sp. 92V tRNA". It matches the Rfam family "tRNA". From Rfam's summary of the family: Transfer RNA (tRNA) molecules are approximately 80 nucleotides in length. The record is from Rfam by way of RNAcentral. Lineage: Bacteria; Pseudomonadati; Bacteroidota; Flavobacteriia; Flavobacteriales; Flavobacteriaceae. RNAcentral also lists the same sequence under 2 other names.